RNAcentral lists this ribosomal RNA (305 nucleotides) under uncultured bacterium. Its description in RNAcentral is "bacterial SSU rRNA". It matches the Rfam family "Bacterial small subunit ribosomal RNA", at positions 333 to 655 of the family's 1533-position model. The record is from RNAcentral.
UGCGUCCUACGGGGCGCAGCAGUCGGGAAUAUUGCGCAAUGGAGGAAACUCUGACGCAGUGACGCCGCGUGCAGGAAGAAGGUUUUCGGAUUGUAAACUGCUUUAGACAGGGAAGAUAAUGACAGUACCUGUAGAAUAAGCUCCGGCUAACUACGUGCCAGCAGCCGCGGUAAUACGUAGGGAGCAAGCGUUAUCCGGAUUUAUUGGGUGUAAAGGGUGCGUAGACGGGAAUGCAAGUUAGUUGUGAAAUCCCUCGGCUUAACUGAGGAACUGCAACUAAAACUACAUUUCUUGAGUGCUGGAGG